CUGAGAGGGGUUAGCAGCAGAAAGAAACUAUGUGCGAUGAAGGAUGAGAUGGGAAAAAGCAUUCUUAUUAAAAUAUCCGUUAUGUAACUUCAACCAAUACACGUCGCCUACUGAGUAAAGGAUAUUGUUCAUUCUGAGCAAAUAUUUCAAAUUGUUUCACAAAGUAUUCUAUUUAUUUGUAUAAGCAUGGCUAAUAUGCAAACUGGAUCAUCCCUUGGAAACCUGGAAGUGAAUUUUGUGAUAAUACAAGGAAUCCUAGGGUAAUCAUAGCAGAUGUCUUCUGCAUGCCUUAAUUUACAAAUGCCCCCAAUGAAAAGGAGGAAGAAGGAGCCAGGAAGAUUGGAUGCAGUAGCCACCAAGCUGUUAACAGUAGUAUUCUAUCCACAAAACUCAAGAAGUAAACAGAAAUGGAGAAGAUCAAGUGUUCCUCUAAGUUUCACAAAGCAGGUAUGGAGAGCUGCUCAGCAACGUCACACUUAGCAAAUACAGAAUGGAAAGGCAGUUGCAGUUUCAUGCCUAAACUCCACGCGUAAUUCUCUUGUAGCCAGAAGACACCCAUUCUUCCUGGAGAAGGAGUGAAAAAGCAAAAACCGUAGAUUUUUAUGUCCAAGUCCAAGUCCCAUGACAGUAAUGACUGAUUAUUUAUCCCAUUCCUUCUCUACUCCUUUGUUUCCUAUCACACAGGGGAGGUCUGAGGGGGUGAGGGCUAAAGUGAUGCUGGGGUGUAGAAGAACCAGUGGGGUUCCAAUUGAGUUCAUUUCUCUCUGGAAUGUGAGGUACUUGAUAUUUUGUCCUCAACUUUGGAUACUACCUAUGAAUUUUGGUAAAAGGAAAAGUCCUUUUCAACACCAUUUUCCAUUGUGAUAUGUAAUUCUAAAAUGACACUGUCAUUUUGUUUUUGCCCAUGUACUAAAAUAUUAUAAUUAAUGUAAUUUUUUCUUUUUC
Molecule: long non-coding RNA, 945 nt
Organism: Cercocebus atys (sooty mangabey)
Lineage: Eukaryota; Metazoa; Chordata; Mammalia; Primates; Cercopithecidae
Exons: 3
Source: RefSeq, a predicted model, not a curated record